RNAcentral lists this ribosomal RNA (253 nucleotides) under uncultured bacterium. Its description in RNAcentral is "partial 16S ribosomal RNA". It matches the Rfam family "Bacterial small subunit ribosomal RNA", at positions 524 to 776 of the family's 1533-position model. The record is from RNAcentral.
UACGAAGGGUGCAAGCGUUAAUCGGAAUUACUGGGCGUAAAGCGUGCGUAGGCGGUUGGCUAAGUCAGAUGUGAAAGCCCUGGGCUCAACCUGGGAAUGGCAUUUGAAACUGGCUGGCUAGAGUGUGAUAGAGGAUGGCGGAAUUCCCGGUGUAGCGGUGAAAUGCGUAGAGAUCGGGAGGAACAUCCGUGGCGAAGGCGGCCAUCUGGAUCAACACUGACGCUGAGGCACGAAAGCGUGGGGAGCAAACAGG